GCCCAGAAAUAAACCCUUAUACGCAGUCACCUAGUACCUAAUGAGAGCCAUUAACAUUCAGUGGAGAAAAGACAAGUUUCCUCAGUAAAAGUUUUCGGGAAAACUGGCCCACUGUCUUGCAGCACUCACAAAAAUUAGCUAGAAAUGCAUUAAAGACUUAAAUUUAAGACUGGAAAACCAUACGGGGCACCUGGGUGGCCCAGCUGGUUGAGCAUCCAACCUCAGCUCAGCUCAUGACCACGGUUCAUGGGUUUGAGCCCUGUGUCAGGCUCUGUGCUGACAACUCAGAGCCUGGAGCCUGCUUCAGAUUCUGUGUCUCCCUCUCUCUGUGCCCCUCCCCUGCUCACGCCGUGUGUGUCUCUCUCUCAAAAAUAAACAUGUAGAAAAUUUUUGAAGGAAAGAAAGAGAGACUGGAAAAUCAUGGAAGUCCUAGAAGAGAACAGGACAAAGCCCCUUGACAUGGGUCGUGGUGAUGCCUUUGGAGUGUGACACCUAAGGAAGGCACAAGCAAUGAAAGCAAGACUACACAACUGGGACCAAACCAGAGUCUGCACAGAACAAAUGACCAGCAAAAUGAAAAAACAAACAAACAAACAAAAACACCCCAGCCUGCAGAAGAAGGAAAAAAUGUGCAAACCACGUAGCUGACAAGGUGGUAAUAUCCAAAAUAUAUAAAGAACUCUACCUUAAUAACAACAAAACAAUAAUCCUAUUUUCAAGUGGGGAAAAGAUGUGAAUAGGAACUUUUCCAAGGCCACGUAUACACUAAGGUGCCCCACGUCACCCCUCACCAGGGAGAUACGAGGCACUUCUGUCACAAGGUCCGGACUCAAAAACUAGAAACUGCAGGUGCUGGUGAGGAUGGGGAGAAACCACUGGUGGGAAGGUGCCUGGGUGCAGCCACUGUGGAAAACUGUGCAGAGGUUUCUCAAACGACUGAAAAUGGAAGUCCCGUGUGCUCCAGCAUUUCCCUCCAAGGAGGCAAAACCGACACCGAAGGGGCACCCGCACCCCGUUUUCAGAGCAGCACGAGCAUUACUCGCAAGAGCCAAGAUAAGGAAAUAGCCUGAGUUUGCACUGACGCAUGAAGGAAACGUAGCACACACACAAGGGAAUAGCAUUCAGCCAUAAAACAAGAAGCAAGUCCCGCUGUUUGUGACAACGUGGAUGGACCUCGAAGGGACUGUACCGACGGAAAAAUCAGAGAAACACAAAUACUGGCAUCUCACUUGUUAACGGCCUCGUAAAAACAAACUCAAGAAAAAAGCGAACAGAUUUGUGGAUACCGGAGGCACAGCGAGGGGGUGCGGAAUUGGAGGAAGGGAUCCAGUGGCACAAACUCCCAGCUAGAAGAUAAGGAAGGACGGAGGUGCGACGUACGACAUGGGGACACGGCCGCGUCUGUGAUACGUCCUAAAAGUUCUAUGAAAAGAGAAAACAUCUUUCCUUCUCAUGUAGGUGACACGAUGUCGCUGUGCCCAGAAUUCCAGCCGCCGUGCUGCACGUCUGGUGCUCAGCGGUGCUGUCUGCAGCGACACGUCCAUAAAAUGAGAAACAAGCGAACCUGCAAACUUCACCUCCUUGGAUCAGGAUACAGACCCUUAUCCAUGCCCCCCUUCCAACUUCAGUCUCACACUUCAUUAUCUCCAACAAGAUGCCCCCAAAUUACUUGGAAACCAAAUAGUCAUCUGCAUUGUCUUCGGUUGCUCCUCAGGCAAUGAAAUGCUAGGCUCAAGUGCUUUAGUUACCCCAAGGCAGCAAGGGCAAACUCCUUAAUUCCCGGCAUCAUGAGCAACCCCAGAAGCACCUGUUCACGGUACUGAGAAAGCAGCGGCUACUGACCCCAGGGGCCUGCUGCAACUCUUGGCCCAAAAUGUACCAAUACACAGAUUUUACCACAACAGGAAAAGCUACACCAACACUGAAUGGUGAUGGGGGCGUCUGGGGGGCUCAGUCGGCUAAGUGUCUGACUCUUGAUCUCAGCUCAGGUCAUCAUCUCACAGUUCAUGGCAUGAAGCCCCGAGUCAGGGUCUGUGCUGACAGUGCAGAGCCUGCUUGGGAUUUUCUCUCUCUCUGUCUCUCUGUCCCUCCCCUGCUCGCAUGUGCAAACACCCUCUCAAAAUAAAUAAACCUAAAAAAAAAAAAACCCAAAACCCCGAAUGGUGACGGAUGAGCCACACCAUUUCAUUGGAGAGGACACAGGGAAUAUGAUACCAAAAUACCUCUGAAAAACAGGAACUAAUGCAGGGACCCCAAAGAAGAAUACGACACAACACACUGGUUAAGUCCCACACAUGCCACGUAACCUGUGGGCACUGGUUCCGUCCAUGUCCUGCGUAAUGCCGAUACUUUAAUAAAAGCAAUUAAAUGUGUGUACUUUUUCAAGGUAUUUGAGUUCACAGGGGAUUUUUAGGGGAGAAAGUUAAAAAUCGUUGGGUCAGGUAUGCCAAUAUUGUAUUAGGAGAUCACUGUCGUCAGUAAUUAUAUGGUGAGAGUUCAAGGUCAGUGGGUAAGACACCAGGAGUG
Long non-coding RNA from Leopardus geoffroyi (Geoffroy's cat), 2526 nucleotides. RefSeq lists it as uncharacterized. The record is from RefSeq and is a predicted model, not a curated record. Lineage: Eukaryota; Metazoa; Chordata; Mammalia; Carnivora; Felidae. The transcript has 3 exons.